RNAcentral lists this long non-coding RNA (507 nucleotides) under Equus caballus (horse). Its description in RNAcentral is "lncRNA (ENSECAG00000041801.2)". The record is from RNAcentral. Lineage: Eukaryota; Metazoa; Chordata; Mammalia; Perissodactyla; Equidae.
GCUUCAUAUAUAUUCAUUUGGUCCUUCAGAGAAUUCAGGAUUGCUACAAUCUCCAUUUUAGAGAUAUCGAAAAUGAGACAAGAGGCUAAAAUGGAUGCCUGUCCAAGUCAUACAGGUUGUAAGUGGCAGACCUGGGAAUCAAAUCCAGUCAGGUGAACACCAGAGCCUGUACAACCACUGCCCAUUCUGCCCUAAGAGGAGACAGGAGGAAGUAGCAGGACCCCUGAUGACAGUGAUGCUUGGACUAGACUUUAGAGACAAUUCAAACUCACCUGUGACCACCCAGCUCGAGACAACAGACCUGCCACCCUGCUGUGUUCACCGAGACAGCAGACCUACCUGCUGUUUCCAUCAAUCGCUGUGCCGACAGAGCAGUCUCUCAACUAUUGUAAAAGGGACAUUUCAAUCCUAUGUGAAACAUCCUCUCUGGGGGUAUAUAACCACUCUGUGCACCCCACUUCUUUGGUGCCCUUUCUUCCUUCGGGAACAAAGGCCCCAAGCCAUGGC